UUACGGGAGGCAGCAGUGGGGAAUUUUCCGCAAUGGGCGAAAGCCUGACGGAGCAACGCCGCGUGAGGGAUGAAGGCCUCUGGGCUGUAAACCUCUUUUAUCAAGGAAGAAGAUCUGACGGUACUUGAUGAAUAAGCCACGGCUAAUUCCGUGCCAGCAGCCGCGGUAAUA
RNAcentral lists this ribosomal RNA (171 nucleotides) under uncultured cyanobacterium. Its description in RNAcentral is "partial 16S ribosomal RNA". It matches the Rfam family "Bacterial small subunit ribosomal RNA", at positions 339 to 525 of the family's 1533-position model. The record is from RNAcentral. Lineage: Bacteria; Bacillati; Cyanobacteriota.